Molecule: ribosomal RNA, 763 nt
Filed under: uncultured Streptococcus sp.
Lineage: Bacteria; Bacillati; Bacillota; Bacilli; Lactobacillales; Streptococcaceae
Description: bacterial SSU rRNA
Rfam family: Bacterial small subunit ribosomal RNA
Source: RNAcentral
GACGAACGCUGGCGGCGUGCCUAAUACAUGCAAGUAGAACGCUGAAGGAGGAGCUUGCUUCUCUGGAUGAGUUGCGAACGGGUGAGUAACGCGUAGGUAACCUGCCUGGUAGCGGGGGAUAACUAUUGGAAACGAUAGCUAAUACCGCAUAAUAGUAGAUGUUGCAUGACAUUUGCUUAAAAGGUGCAAUUGCAUCACUACCAGAUGGACCUGCGUUGUAUUAGCUAGUUGGUGGGGUAACGGCUCACCAAGGCAACGAUACAUAGCCGACCUGAGAGGGUGAUCGGCCACACUGGGACUGAGACACGGCCCAGACUCCUACGGGAGGCAGCAGUAGGGAAUCUUCGGCAAUGGACGGAAGUCUGACCGAGCAACGCCGCGUGAGUGAAGAAGGUUUUCGGAUCGUAAAGCUCUGUUGUAAGAGAAGAACGAGUGUGAGAGUGGAAAGUUCACACUGUGACGGUAUCUUACCAGAAAGGGACGGCUAACUACGUGCCAGCAGCCGCGGUAAUACGUAGGUCCCGAGCGUUGUCCGGAUUUAUUGGGCGUAAAGCGAGCGCAGGCGGUUAGAUAAGUCUGAAGUUAAAGGCUGUGGCUUAACCAUAGUACGCUUUGGAAACUGUUUAACUUGAGUGCAAGAGGGGAGAGUGGAAUUCCAUGUGUAGCGGUGAAAUGCGUAGAUAUAUGGAGGAACACCGGUGGCGAAAGCGGCUCUCUGGCUUGUAACUGACGCUGAGGCUCGAAAGCGUGGGGAGCAAACAGG